GGACUACAGGGGUAUCUAAUUCCGUUCGCUCCCCUAGCUUUCGCGCCUCAGCGUCAGGUGCCGCCCAGCAAGCCGCCUUCGCCUCGGGUGUUCCUCCCGAUCUCUACGCAUUUCACCACUACUUCGGGACUUCCGCUUGCCUCUGCGACCCUCCAGCCCGGUCAUCUCCACAGGCCUCCCUCGGUUGAGCCGAGGGCUUUCACUAUGGAUGCGCCGGGCCGCCUACGCGCGCUUUACGCCCAGUAAUUCCGGACAACGCUCGCCCCCUACGUAUUACCGCGGCUGCUGGCAC
This 292-nucleotide ribosomal RNA is filed under the name uncultured bacterium. Its description in RNAcentral is "partial 16S ribosomal RNA". The record is from RNAcentral.